UACGAAGGUCCCAAGCGUUAUUCGGAUUUAUUGGGUUUAAAGGGUGCGUAGGCGGGCUAUUAAGUCAGUGGUGAAAGCCCCAAGCUUAACUUGGGAACUGCCAUUGAUACUGAUGGUCUUGAGUACAUUUGAGGUGGGCGGAAUGUGUCAUGUAGCGGUGAAAUGCUUAGAUAUGACACAGAACACCGAUUGCGAAGGCAGCUCACUAAACUGUAACUGACGCUGAGGCACGAAAGCGUGGGGAGCAAACAGG
RNAcentral lists this ribosomal RNA (253 nucleotides) under uncultured bacterium. Its description in RNAcentral is "partial 16S ribosomal RNA". It matches the Rfam family "Bacterial small subunit ribosomal RNA", at positions 524 to 776 of the family's 1533-position model. The record is from RNAcentral.